Molecule: ribosomal RNA, 1346 nt
Filed under: uncultured bacterium
Lineage: Bacteria
Description: partial 16S ribosomal RNA
Rfam family: Bacterial small subunit ribosomal RNA
Source: RNAcentral
GACGAACGCUGGCGGCGUGCUUAACACAUGCAAGUCGAACGGAAAGGCCCUGCUUUUGUGGGGUGCUCGAGUGGCGAACGGGUGAGUAACACGUGAGUAACCUGCCCUUGACUUUGGGAUAACUUCAGGAAACUGGGGCUAAUACCGGAUAGGAGCUCCUGCUGCAUGGUGGGGGUUGGAAAGUUUCGGCGGUUGGGGAUGGACUCGCGGCUUAUCAGCUUGUUGGUGGGGUAGUGGCUUACCAAGGCUUUGACGGGUAGCCGGCCUGAGAGGGUGACCGGCCACAUUGGGACUGAGAUACGGCCCAGACUCCUACGGGAGGCAGCAGUGGGGAAUAUUGCACAAUGGGCGGAAGCCUGAUGCAGCAACGCCGCGUGCGGGAUGACGGCCUUCGGGUUGUAAACCGCUUUCGCCUGUGACGAAGCGUGAGUGACGGUAAUGGGUAAAGAAGCACCGGCUAACUACGUGCCAGCAGCCGCGGUGAUACGUAGGGUGCGAGCGUUGUCCGGAUUUAUUGGGCGUAAAGGGCUCGUAGGUGGUUGAUCGCGUCGGAAGUGUAAUCUUGGGGCUUAACCCUGAGCGUGCUUUCGAUACGGGUUGACUUGAGGAAGGUAGGGGAGAAUGGAAUUCCUGGUGGAGCGGUGGAAUGCGCGGAUAUCAGGAGGAACACCAGUGGCGAAGGCGGUUCUCUGGGCCUUUCCUGACGCUGAGGAGCGAAAGCGUGGGGAGCGAACAGGCUUAGAUACCCUGGUAGUCCACGCUGUAAACGGUGGGUACUAGGUGUGGGGUCCAUUCCACGGGUUCCGUGCCGUAGCUAACGCUUUAAGUACCCCGCCUGGGGAGUACGGCCGCAAGGCUAAAACUCAAAGGAAUUGACGGGGCCCCGCACAAGCGGCGGAGCAUGCGGAUUAAUUCGAUGCAACGCGUAGAACCUUACCUGGGUUUGAUAUGGAUCGGGAGUGCUCAGAGAUGGGUGUGCCUCUUUUGGGGUCGGUUCACAGGUGGUGCAUGGCUGUCGUCAGCUCGUGUCGUGAGAUGUUGGGUUAAGUCCCGCAACGAGCGCAACCCUUGUUCACUGUUGCCAGCACGUUAUGGUGGGGACUCAGUGGAGACCGCCGGGGUCAACUCGGAGGAAGGUGGGGAUGACGUCAAGUCAUCAUGCCCCUUAUGUCCAGGGCUUCACGCAUGCUACAAUGGCUGGUACAGAGAGUGGCGAGCCUGUGAGGGUGAGCGAAUCUCGGAAAGCCGGUCUCAGUUCGGAUUGGGGUCUGCAACUCGACCUCAUGAAGUCGGAGUCGCUAGUAAUCGCAGAUCAGCAACGCUGCGGUGAAUACGUUCCCGGGGCU